GACGAACGCUGGCGGCGUGCCUAAUACAUGCAAGUCGAGCGGACAGAUGGGAGCUUGCUCCCUGAUGUUAGCGGCGGACGGGUGAGUAACACGUGGGUAACCUGCCUGUAAGACUGGGAUAACUCGGGAAACGGGCUAAUACCGGAUGCUUGUUUGAACCGCAUGGUUCAAACAUAAAAGGUGGCUUCGGCUACCGACUUACAGAUGGACCCGCGGCGCAUUAGCUAGUUGGUGAGGUAAUGGCUCACCAAGGCGACGAUGCGUAGCCGACCUGAGAGGUGAUCGGCCACACUGGGGACUGGAGACACGGCCCAGACUCCUACGGGAGCAGCAGUAGGGAAUCUUCCGCAAUGGCAAAGCUGACGAGCAACG
Molecule: ribosomal RNA, 372 nt
Filed under: uncultured bacterium
Lineage: Bacteria
Description: bacterial SSU rRNA
Rfam family: Bacterial small subunit ribosomal RNA
Source: RNAcentral